RNAcentral lists this ribosomal RNA (253 nucleotides) under uncultured bacterium. RNAcentral's name for it is "partial 16S ribosomal RNA". It matches the Rfam family "Bacterial small subunit ribosomal RNA", at positions 524 to 776 of the family's 1533-position model. The record is from RNAcentral.
UACGUGGGGGGCGAGCGUUGUUCGGAAUUAUUGGGCGUAAAGGGUGCGUAGGCGGUUUGGUAAGUCUUAUGUGAAAUCUACAGGCUCAACUUGUAGUCUGCAUGAGAAACUGCCGGGCUUGAGUAUGGGAGAGGUGAGUGGAAUUCCUGGGGUAGCGGUGAAAUGCGUAGAUAUCGUAAGGAAGACCAGUGGCGAAGGCGGGUCUCUGGACAGUUCCUGACGCUGAGGCACGAAGGUCAGGGGAGCAAACGGG